This is a long non-coding RNA of Mus caroli (Ryukyu mouse), 186 nucleotides long. RefSeq lists it as uncharacterized. The record is from RefSeq and is a predicted model, not a curated record. NCBI's taxonomy places the organism in Eukaryota, Metazoa, Chordata, Mammalia, Rodentia, Muridae.
UGGGACCUGACUAGCUGCUUCAAGCCCCAGUGCACACGAUGGUACUUGUAAAAUCUUCAGCUGGAGUCACAUCUCUUGUUCCUUCUACACAACCGCACUUUACAUUUGGGCACGAAGUAGACUUGGAACGUGGUACCUGGAACAGGAUGCUUGAUUCCAUGGCUUAGCAUGAAUCUAUCAUCGACU